RNAcentral lists this ribosomal RNA (459 nucleotides) under uncultured bacterium. Its description in RNAcentral is "bacterial SSU rRNA". It matches the Rfam family "Bacterial small subunit ribosomal RNA", at positions 34 to 507 of the family's 1533-position model. The record is from RNAcentral.
CGCUGGCGGCGCGCCUAACACAUGCAAGUCGAACGAGAGAUGAAGAGCUUGCUCUUCAGAUCGAGUGGCGAACGGGUGAGUAACGCGUGAGGAACCUGCCUCAAAGAGGGGGACAACAGUUGGAAACGACUGCUAAUACCGCAUAAGCCCACGGCUCGGCAUCGAGCAGAGGGAAAAGGAGUGAUCCGCUUUGAGAUGGCCUCGCGUCCGAUUAGCUAGUUGGUGAGGUAACGGCCCACCAAGGCGACGAUCGGUAGCCGGACUGAGAGGUUGAACGGCCACAUUGGGACUGAGACACGGCCCAGACUCCUACGGGAGGCAGCAGUGGGGAAUAUCGCACAAUGGGGGAACCCUGAUGCAGCGACGCCGCGUGGAGGAAGAAGGUCUUCGGAUUGUAAACUCCUGUUGUUGAGGAAGAUAAUGACGGUACUCAACAAGGAAGUGACGGCUAACUACGUG